RNAcentral lists this ribosomal RNA (492 nucleotides) under uncultured bacterium. RNAcentral describes it as "partial 16S ribosomal RNA". It matches the Rfam family "Bacterial small subunit ribosomal RNA", at positions 29 to 507 of the family's 1533-position model. The record is from RNAcentral.
AGUGAACGCUGGCGGUAGGCCUAACACAUGCAAGUCGAACGGCAGCACAGUAAGCGCUUGCUCUUACGGGUGGCGAGUGGCGGACGGGUGAGGCAUACAUCGGAAUCUACUUUUUCGUGGGGGAUAACGUAGGGAAACUUACGCUAAUACCGCAUACGACCUACGGGUGAAAGCAGGGGAUCUUCGGACCUUGCGCGUUUGAAUGAGCCGAUGUCGGAUUAGCUAGUUGGCGGGGUAAAGGCCCACCAAGGCGACGAUCCGUAGCUGGUCUGAGAGGAUGAUCAGCCACACUGGAACUGAGACACGGUCCAGACUCCUACGGGAGGCAGCAGUGGGGAAUAUUGGACAAUGGGCGCAAGCCUGAUCCAGCCAUACCGCGUGGGUGAAGAAGGCCUUCGGGUUGUAAAGCCCUUUUGUUGGGAAAGAAAAGCAGCAGGUUAAUACCCCGCUGUUCUGACGGUACCCAAAGAAUAAGCACCGGCUAACUUCGUG